CAAAAGACAAGUGGAGGCAUAAAGCGCUGCACAUCACAACACUGAAGCAAAACUUAACAAGAUUGCUGUUGCGUGAAAAGGUACGAUGCUGGGAAACUGCGUGGGCCUGUGAUUACUCAGGCUGGAGUCCCUCCUGAACAACACAUAAAAGAUGACUGGAAAAUAAAUAUGGACAAAGUUACACCCAUUAUUGAGUCAGGAGCAAAGGGACCGUGUCCAACAGACAUCGGAGAGAAUGAUCCAGAAGAAGACACAGUGAGGAAGGUGAUGGCGGGGGGGGCCACUGGCCUGGCGCUGGGGGUUUUGUGUGGGGCCGCUUCCCCCCUUGCAGCUGUACUAAGAUCAGCCGUGGUUGUGGGGAGCAGAUUAGCCUUUAGUGUAGCUAAUAUGGCCGCUGGGGCCGUUGUCGGAGGGGUUUUGGGAGGCGUUACGGGCGCAGUGAAUGGGCUAGGAGCUGACAGUCCUUUGCAAGCAGCUGAGCAAACCCUGUAUCAGGUGGGCAGAGAGGGGGUCAAGGUUGUGGGGGUGGCUGCAGGGUUUGGAGUUAUAGGGCCUCCGGCUGCAGCAGCUGCAGGGUUGUCAGCUCCAGGGGUUCAGGGUACACCUGUGGCAGCUGCAAUAGGUUAUUUGACAAAAAAAAAACUAUCCGGGAAUAUAAAAUCAGGUGAAGCACUUUGAGUCUGCCUUGUGUAUGAAAAGGGCUAUAUAAAUAAAGUUGCCUUGCCUUGCCUUGCCUUGCCUUGCCUUGCCUUGCCUUGCCUUGCCUUGCCUUGCCUUGCCUUGAAUUUAAAUAUAAUUAAUAAGCUGCUCUGCCAUGUCAUGCCGUAACAGUGACACAAUCUGUUCUCAGUGCCUGGCACUGUAGUACUUUACAAGCAGUAGCCUACUACAUGAAUACAUUAAAGUCAAUUCACUCCAUUGCAGAACGAAAAUCCAGAUUUUUCCAAUGCUUCCCCAAUACCCCGACCGCUUCACAUACAACAACACCUUUACCUUUACUUGGUUUAUGGGCUAUAUCAGGGUCGUUUGGAUCUUGACACAUUUUGUAUUUUGUAUAAUGGGGCACUCGUCUGGGUGAAAAGCGGGGGCAGAACUGCAGUAUAGCUCUCGUGCCAUAAGGGAAGCAGACAUCCGACAAGGGGUUAAGGGGCCUGGAUGCGCGGCUGGACACCUUCUCUCUCUCCUCUUGCUUUACUUAUCUUUAUGUUCCUAGUGUUCACUCCACUUGGAGAUGUGCCUGAUCAUUGUAUUAAGUUAGCUUGGUUCAGAAAAUAAAGGUAUUUGGAUGAAUUUUAGACUUAACAUCAGAUGGGUUGUGGGUUUUACAGUUUAUUUAAUUCUGCAUAAAACUGGCUUCAUGAAUGUUUUUAUUGUCAUGAUUUAUUCACUGGAAAUAAUCAAUAAAGGAUGUAUUUAUUUCACAAUCAUAUAAAUGACUUGUAUAUUUUCAAUCAAUAAA
Gadus chalcogrammus (walleye pollock) is the source of this 1459-nucleotide long non-coding RNA. RefSeq lists it as uncharacterized. The record is from RefSeq and is a predicted model, not a curated record. NCBI's taxonomy places the organism in Eukaryota, Metazoa, Chordata, Actinopteri, Gadiformes, Gadidae. The transcript is spliced from 3 exons.